UGGGAUGUAGCCAAGGGGUAAGGCACAGGACUUUGACUCCUGCAUUCCGCUGGUCCGAAUCCAGCCAUCCCAACCA
Molecule: transfer RNA, 76 nt
Filed under: Bacillota bacterium
Lineage: Bacteria; Bacillati; Bacillota
Description: tRNA-Gln
Rfam family: tRNA
About the family: Transfer RNA (tRNA) molecules are approximately 80 nucleotides in length. Their secondary structure includes four short double-helical elements and three loops (D, anti-codon, and T loops).
Source: RNAcentral